GCUCGUAGUUGAAUCUAGUCGUGUCCGUUGGGUUUGUCGUUGGCGUUUAUUCGUCUUUGGCGUUAAUUCACGGCCGAUUUUUGCUGGUUUGCUGUUGGUCUUCGGAUCUUCGGUGGCUAGCGAGUUACUUUGAUCAAAUCAGAGUGCUCAAAACAGGCGAAAGCUUGUAUGAUUUCUCGAGGAAUAACAGAAGAGGACUUCGGUUCUAUUUGUUGGUUCCAGAAUCGUUUAAUGGUUAAGAGGGACAAUUCGGGGGCAAACGUAUCCUCGCGCGAGGGGUGAAAUCCGUAGACCGUGAGGAGACGACCAAUAGCGAAAGCAUUUGCCAAGAAUGUCUCCAUUAAUCAAGAACGAAAGUCAGAGGUUCGAAGGCGAUUAGAUACCGCCCUAGUUCUGACCGUAAACUAUACCAGCUCAUGACAAGACGGGUCGUAAUGUCCUCGUCGGGUCGCCCCCGGAAACGAAAGCUUUCGGUU
This 476-nucleotide ribosomal RNA is filed under the name Rhabditis terricola. RNAcentral describes it as "SSU rRNA". It matches the Rfam family "Eukaryotic small subunit ribosomal RNA", at positions 626 to 1113 of the family's 1831-position model. Lineage: Eukaryota; Metazoa; Nematoda; Chromadorea; Rhabditida; Rhabditidae. The record is from RNAcentral.